GACAGAGGUGCCGAGCGUUAGGCGGAAUCACUGGGCUUAAAGCGUGUGUAGGCGGAUCUGUAAGUCCCUUGUGAAAUCCCACGGCUCAACCGUGGAACUGCUUGGUAUACUGCGGGUCUUGAGCCACCUAGGGGCAAGUGGAACAAACGGUGGAGCGGUGAAAUGCGUAGAUAUCGUUUGGAACGCCAAUGGUGAAAACAACUUGCUGGGGGUGUGCUGACGCUGAGACACGAAAGCCAGGGGAGCAAACGGG
This 253-nucleotide ribosomal RNA is filed under the name uncultured bacterium. RNAcentral describes it as "partial 16S ribosomal RNA". It matches the Rfam family "Bacterial small subunit ribosomal RNA", at positions 524 to 776 of the family's 1533-position model. The record is from RNAcentral.